This 368-nucleotide ribosomal RNA is filed under the name uncultured organism. RNAcentral's name for it is "bacterial SSU rRNA". It matches the Rfam family "Bacterial small subunit ribosomal RNA", at positions 526 to 896 of the family's 1533-position model. The record is from RNAcentral.
CGGAGGGUGCAAGCGUUAUCCGGAUUCACUGGGUUUAAAGGGUGCGUAGGUGGGUCUGUAAGUCAGUGGUGAAAUCCCCGAGCUUAACUUGGGAACUGCCGUUGAUACUAUAGAUCUUGAAUAUCGUGGAGGUAAGCGGAAUAUGUCAUGUAGCGGUGAAAUGCUUAGAUAUGACAUAGAACACCAAUUGCGAAGGCAGCUUACUACACGAUCAUUGACACUGAGGCACGAAAGCGUGGGGAGCAAACAGGAUUAGAUACCCUGGUAGUCCACGCCCUAAACUAUGGAUACUCGACAUCAGCGAUACACAGUUGGUGUCUGAGCGAAAGCAUUAAGUAUCCCACCUGGGAAGUACGAUCGCAAGAUUG